Molecule: small nucleolar RNA, 116 nt
Organism: Capsella rubella
Lineage: Eukaryota; Viridiplantae; Streptophyta; Magnoliopsida; Brassicales; Brassicaceae
Rfam family: Small nucleolar RNA snoR113
Source: Rfam
UGGCGAUGAUGAAAAAAAGGCCGGACUUACGGCUGCUACGAAGCACCAGCACCAGAAAAAGUGUGGUGUGGGUAGUAGAAUGAUGUUAAAGUUCCCAAAGGUUACAGCUGAGCCAG